ACGGAGGGUGCAAGCGUUAAUCGGAAUCACUGGGCGUAAAGCGCACGUAGGCGGUUUUGCAAGUCAGACGUGAAAUCCCUUGGCUCAACCGAGGAAUUGCGUUUGAAACUGCAGGACUGGAGUACUGGAGAGGGUGGCGGAAUUCCCGGUGUAGGAGUGAAAUCCGUAGAUAUCGGGAGGAACACCAGUGGCGAAGGCGGCCACCUGGACAGAUACUGACGCUGAGGUGCGAAAGCGUGGGGAGCAAACAG
Molecule: ribosomal RNA, 251 nt
Filed under: uncultured prokaryote
Description: partial 16S rRNA
Rfam family: Bacterial small subunit ribosomal RNA
Source: RNAcentral